RNAcentral lists this ribosomal RNA (427 nucleotides) under uncultured beta proteobacterium. RNAcentral describes it as "bacterial SSU rRNA". It matches the Rfam family "Bacterial small subunit ribosomal RNA", at positions 355 to 774 of the family's 1533-position model. Lineage: Bacteria; Pseudomonadati; Pseudomonadota; Betaproteobacteria. The record is from RNAcentral.
UGGGGAAUUUUGGACAAUGGGCGAAAGCCUGAUCCAGCCACGCCGCGUGAGUGAAGAAGGCCUUCGGGUUGUAAAGCUCUUUUAGUCGGAAAGAAAGAGUUGCAAUGAAUAAUUGAGAUUUAUGACGGUACCGACAGAAAAAGCACCGGCUAACUACGUGCCAGCAGCCGCGGUAAUACGUAGGGUGCGAGCGUUAAUCGGAAUUACUGGGCGUAAAGGGUGCGCAGGCGGUCUUGCAAGUCAGAUGUGAAAGCCCCGGGCUUAACCUGGGAAUUGCGUUUGAAACUACAAGACUAGAGUGCAGCAGAGGGGAGUGGAAUUCCAUGUGUAGCAGUGAAAUGCGUAGAGAUGUGGAAGAACACCGAUGGCGAAGGCAGCUCCCUGGGUUGACACUGACGCUCAUGCACGAAAGCGUGGGGAGCAAACA